This 1624-nucleotide long non-coding RNA is filed under the name Mytilus galloprovincialis (Mediterranean mussel). Lineage: Eukaryota; Metazoa; Mollusca; Bivalvia; Mytilida; Mytilidae. The record is from RNAcentral.
AAACUUUAUUUUCUAUUUAUGAUUCUGCAUUGACGUGAAGAUUAUGUCAGGGUAAUACAGUAAAGUUAUGUCACUGUAUCUCAUGUAUCUAUUGGUUUUUUUUUUUAUAAGCAUGACUUUGCUUCCGACAUAGGAUUUUAGAACUUUGGGAUUGAAUAUACUCGGGGUAAGUACUUGUACGUGCAGUUUGUUUCAAUUACAAUCGAAUUGUAUAAUCUGUCAUUUUGAUUAAUAACAUAUUGUAGCAUAGUCAUUCAUGUCCUUUUUAAAUCCUUUAACAUUUAGCAAAACCCAUAACACAUCAAACGUCUUACAUGUAUAUGCAUUGAAACAAUUGACAUCUGUUAUACAUGAAAUAUUGUAAUAAUGUUGGUAUGAGUAUUAAUACCAGUAUAAUUUGUUUGAAAGCCCACUAUACCAAUAUACCUAGAAAAAAAGCCACGAGAAAACUACGCAUAAACAACGGACACUCAUAUAUAAGCAUGAUAGACAACAGCAGAAUAUACUUAGCCUUCAACAUUCAAUAUUCAUGGUUUGGGAUGAAAAAACGAUAACAGAUAAGCGACAGUAAAAUGAGUAAAGAAGAGUUACAUUCACUGUUAUUUUUGUUGAAAUAUUGAUGACGUCGACAAUUCCAAUUUUGAUUUUAUUAAAUGGAGAUUCUGAUAAACUACAAAAUUGUUGUUCAAAUUUGAAUAAUUUAAAAUCUUUUAUUUUCACGCAGUGCCUUCCCUUGAUAUGAUCACAAAACUGGUAGGAAGAAAGAUGAUUAUGAUUUUCAAACUGAGUUUCCAUUAUAUGAUGAGCAAAAAAAAGUAAGUAAAAGAUUUAAUAAUAACGACAAUAUAAUACGAAACAAUAAUAAUUAUUGCAUUGAAUUGGGAUUUUAAAAUCAAUGCAUAAUUAUUCGGAUAAUAUCAUACCUUGCUUGAAAAAAGCAAUGAAAAAGUUAAGAUAUUUUUCUUGCAGGUAUAGUAAAUACGUGCAACGUUAUGUUCAGCAGAAAUAAUAAAAGCAUAAUAAAUUUUCCUAUAUUCGGUUUACAGAGCGACAUAGUUGAUAUACUGUGACUGCAUCUGGUACGACAUGAUGUAGACCUGGAUGUACGUUUAAACUUGUUGUGGUUGGUUGCAAAAAUGAACGUAGGCUAUGUUUUUUUUUUUUUUUAUUAAGUAAUUUUCAUUUUCUCUUUUUUGAUAAUCAGUAAAAGUAAUAAAUGAUAUUUUGUUUUGGUACCGACUUUUUAUGUUAAAAUAGCAGGUUCGUCCUUCAGGCUCACAAUAUUAUUUACCGAUAGCAUAUAUUCAUUAUCUAUAUAUAACGGAUGCCAAUAAAAGUAUCAUACAUACAGGGACUUUCUCAUUCUCCAUAUCAUCGUAUUUGUAUCUACCAUAAUCAACAUGAUGCGUUAACUGAUAUCUACCUUUGCCGCUUUUUUUUUUACAAAAAAUAAGAAUAGAUUAUAAUAACAAUUUGUCUUCACUUCUUAGAUGUAGACUAAUGUAAAUGUACCUUCCGUCUCUUUUUCAGCGGUUCACCGACAACUAAUCAUAGAGGGAAUGUGAGACAGGUUACAUCAUUAUGUUAGAAAACAUCCCCAUACCAUCUAUUCGACAAUCAAAUA